UACGUAGGGUGCAAGCGUUGUCCGGAAUUAUUGGGCGUAAAGGGCUCGUAGGCGGUCUGUCGCGUCAGGAGUGAAAACUCGGGGCUUAACCCCGAGCCUGCUUCUGAUACGGGCGGACUAGAGGUAUGCAGGGGAGAACGGAAUUCCUGGUGUAGCGGUGAAAUGCGCAGAUAUCAGGAGGAACACCGGUGGCGAAGGCGGUUCUCUGGGCAUUACCUGACGCUGAGGAGCGAAAGUGUGGGGAGCGAACAGG
RNAcentral lists this ribosomal RNA (253 nucleotides) under uncultured bacterium. RNAcentral's name for it is "partial 16S ribosomal RNA". It matches the Rfam family "Bacterial small subunit ribosomal RNA", at positions 524 to 776 of the family's 1533-position model. The record is from RNAcentral.